CAGCAGCCGCGGUAAUACGAAGGGUGCAAGCGUUAAUCGGAAUUACUGGGCGUAAAGCGUGCGUAGGCGGCUUCUUAAGUCGGAUGUGAAAUCCCUGAGCUUAACUUAGGAAUUGCAUUCGAUACUGGGAAGCUAGAGUAUGGGAGAGGAUGGUAGAAUUCCAGGUGUAGCGGUGAAAUGAGUAGAGAUCUGGAGGAAUACCGAUGGCGAAGGCAGCCAUCUGGCCUAAUACUGACGCUGAGGUACGAAAGCAUGGGGAGCAAACAGGAUUAGAUACCCCCGUAGUCCCUGUCUCUUAUAC
RNAcentral lists this ribosomal RNA (301 nucleotides) under uncultured bacterium. Its description in RNAcentral is "partial 16S ribosomal RNA". It matches the Rfam family "Bacterial small subunit ribosomal RNA", at positions 509 to 807 of the family's 1533-position model. The record is from RNAcentral.